This 850-nucleotide long non-coding RNA is filed under the name Setaria italica (foxtail millet). RNAcentral's name for it is "long non-coding RNA (SITA_LNC005377)". The record is from RNAcentral. Lineage: Eukaryota; Viridiplantae; Streptophyta; Magnoliopsida; Poales; Poaceae.
UUUGGCCUUGUACAUGUACAUAUCUUUUACAUAUAUAAAAUAAAAAAGAUCUAGAGGUCUGCUGUUUCAUAAAAAAAAGGCUUUGAGAAUGUCUCUAUCUUGGAGCUCCCUGCAGAUUUCGAUAAGCGGCAAUUAUAUCACAGGUAAAGUGAGAGGAAAUGUUUUUUUUUUUCAGUUGAAGUGUAGCCCAAAAGUACAGUGUACAUAGUUCAGUUAAGUGAAAGCAAUAGCCAGAAUGGUGAUGUAGACAGAGCACAAAUCUUUUUAGCAAGAUCCUUCGAAGCCUCUUCAGGAUCGCCCGCAGCCAUGCCCGACAGCGUGAGCGCUCAAGCACGUGACUCUUUCUCGGCUCAGAUAUGGCGAUGGCGGAUGGAGCGGGUACCCUUGCUGCGGGAGAGCUGGCUCGUGCUGCCUAUGGCUCGAGUGGGGAUGGAUAGCUCUCCGGGCUGCGGCGGACGGCGAGGACGGCGUAAGGGCCGGAGCACGAGUCGACGAGGAGACAGAGCGGCAAACCAGAGUCCAAUUUGUAAAUAAUCAAAAUCAGGAGGGUAUUUUUAAAUAAUCGGAUCGCGAUCAAUAAUCGCGAUCCAAAAUCAGGGGGCUAUCUGAAAAUAUUUAGGGCCUACCUGUAAAAAGUCGAGCCAGCGACAUGGCCGCCGGCGAGGUGGCGCCGCCGCCGCCGCCAUGGCCCCGUGUGAGCCCCCGACAAGUUCCCGCGUGCAUCCGCUGGCUCCCGCUCCCCUCUCGCGCCGCCGAUGGCUCUGGCUCCUCCAGGGAUGCCGUGGUGGCCUGAGACUGAUGAGCCUACAGCUCGGCGCUGCGGCGCCCGAGCGCGGACGGCGGAUGCGCU